Molecule: ribosomal RNA, 253 nt
Filed under: uncultured bacterium
Lineage: Bacteria
Description: partial 16S ribosomal RNA
Rfam family: Bacterial small subunit ribosomal RNA
Source: RNAcentral
UACAGAGGGUGCAAACGUUGCUCGGAAUCAUUGGGCGUAAAGCGCACGUAGGCGGCCCAGCAAGUGGGGAGUGAAAUCCCUCGGCUUAACUGAGGACGUGCGGAAGAAACUGCAAGGCUCGAGUCCGGGAGAGGGGGGUGGAAUUCCCAGUGUAGCGGUGAAAUGCGUAGAUAUUGGGAGGAACACCGGUGGCGAAGGCGGCCCCCUGGACCGGUACUGACGCUGAGGCGCGAAAGCGUGGGUAGCAAACGGG